RNAcentral lists this transfer RNA (88 nucleotides) under Caulobacter virus Karma. RNAcentral's name for it is "tRNA-Leu". It matches the Rfam family "tRNA". From Rfam's summary of the family: Transfer RNA (tRNA) molecules are approximately 80 nucleotides in length. Their secondary structure includes four short double-helical elements and three loops (D, anti-codon, and T loops). Further hydrogen bonds mediate the characteristic L-shaped molecular structure. tRNAs have two regions of fundamental functional importance: the anti-codon, which is responsible for specific mRNA codon recognition, and the 3' end, to which the tRNAs corresponding amino acid is attached (by aminoacyl-tRNA synthetases). tRNAs cope with the degeneracy of the genetic code in two manners: having more than one tRNA (with a specific anti-codon) for a particular amino acid; and 'wobble' base-pairing, i.e. permitting non-standard base-pairing at the 3rd anti-codon position. The record is from RNAcentral. Lineage: Duplodnaviria; Heunggongvirae; Uroviricota; Caudoviricetes; Jeanschmidtviridae. RNAcentral also lists the same sequence under 4 other names.
UGCGAAGUGGCGGAAUUUGGUAGACGCACCGGCAUGAGAGGCCGGCGCCCUUCGGGGCGUGAGGGUUCGAGUCCCUUCUUCGCGACCA